CAGUGUUGGCCCAAGUCAGAUGGUUGAAUGAAAAUGGAGCUUCGAUUAAUGUGAGACAAUAUGCCUAGAUUUUCAGCUUAUCUCUCUCCGAUUGGCUGACCUAUGUCAGCAUGGAGGUGGAUGACUAUCUACAGGUCUGUGACUUGUUCACUUCUGAUGGUAAAGACUGGAGAGCAUAGGAUGUCAUCUAUCUUUUUUGGUGGUUUGCUCGC
This 212-nucleotide long non-coding RNA is filed under the name Elaeis guineensis (African oil palm). Its description in RNAcentral is "long non-coding RNA (EGUI_LNC002960)". The record is from RNAcentral. Lineage: Eukaryota; Viridiplantae; Streptophyta; Magnoliopsida; Arecales; Arecaceae.